GACGAACGCUGGCGGCGUGCUUAACACAUGCAAGUCGAACGGAAAGGCCCUGCUUUGGUGGGGUGCUCGAGUGGCGAACGGGUGAGUAACACGUGAGUAACCUGCCCUUGACUUUGGGAUAACUUCAGGCAACUGGGGCUAAUACCGGAUAGGAGCUCCUGCUGCAUGGUGGGGGUUGGAAAGUUUCGGCGGUUGGGGAUGGACUCGCGGCUUAUCAGCUUGUUGGUGGGGUAGUGGCUUACCAUGGCUUUGACGGGUAGCCGGCCUGAGAGGGUGACCGGCCACACUGGGACUGGGCUACGGCCCAGACUCCUACGGGACGCAACAGUGGGGAGUAUUGCACAAUGGGCGGAAGCCUGAUGCAGCAACGCCGCGUGGGGGAUGACGGCCUUCGGGUUGUAUAGCGCUUUCGCCUGUGACGAAGCGUGAGUGACGGUAAUGGGUAAAGAAGCACCGGCUAACUACGUG
RNAcentral lists this ribosomal RNA (468 nucleotides) under uncultured bacterium. RNAcentral's name for it is "partial 16S ribosomal RNA". It matches the Rfam family "Bacterial small subunit ribosomal RNA", at positions 28 to 507 of the family's 1533-position model. The record is from RNAcentral.